AACGAACGCUGGCGGCAUGCCUAACACAUGCAAGUCGAACGAUUGCCUUCGGGUGAUAGUGGCGCACGGGUGCGUAACGCGUGGGAAUCUGCCCUUAGGUUCGGAAUAACAGCUGGAAACGGCUGCUAAUACCGGAUGAUAUCGCGAGAUCAAAGAUUUAUCGCCUGAGGAUGAGCCCGCGUUGGAUUAGGUAGUUGGUGGGGUAAAGGCCUACCAAGCCGACGAUCCAUAGCUGGUCUGAGAGGAUGAUCAGCCACACUGGGACUGAGACACGGCCCAGACUACUACGGGAGGCAGCAGUGGGGAAUAUUGGAAAAUGGGCGCAAGCCUGAUCCAGCAAUGCCGCGUGAGUGAUGAAGGCCCUAGGGUUGUAAAGCUCUUUUACCCGGGAAGAUAAUGACGGUACCGGGAGAAUAAGCCCCGGCUAACUCCGUG
This 435-nucleotide ribosomal RNA is filed under the name uncultured bacterium. RNAcentral describes it as "partial 16S ribosomal RNA". It matches the Rfam family "Bacterial small subunit ribosomal RNA", at positions 29 to 507 of the family's 1533-position model. The record is from RNAcentral.